UUGAGAGUUUGAUCCUGGCUCAGAACGAACGCUGGCGGCAGGCUUAACACAUGCAAGUCGAGCGCACUCUUCGGAGUGAGCGGCGGACGGGUUAGUAACGCGUGGGAACGUG
RNAcentral lists this ribosomal RNA (112 nucleotides) under Paraphysomonas imperforata. Its description in RNAcentral is "partial Bacterial small subunit ribosomal RNA". It matches the Rfam family "Bacterial small subunit ribosomal RNA", at positions 1 to 128 of the family's 1533-position model. The record is from RNAcentral. Lineage: Eukaryota; Chrysophyceae; Chromulinales; Paraphysomonadaceae.